Molecule: ribosomal RNA, 484 nt
Filed under: uncultured bacterium
Lineage: Bacteria
Description: partial 16S ribosomal RNA
Rfam family: Bacterial small subunit ribosomal RNA
Source: RNAcentral
AUUGAACGCUGGCGGCAGGCCUAACACAUGCAAGUCGAGCGGAUGAAGGGAGCUUGCUCCUGGAUUCAGCGGCGGACGGGUGAGUAAUGCCUAGGAAUCUGCCUGGUAGUGGGGGAUAACGUCCGGAAACGGGCGCUAAUACCGCAUACGUCCUGAGGGAGAAAGUGGGGGAUCUUCGGACCUCACGCUCUCAGAUGAGCCUAGGUCGGAUUAGCUAGUUGGUGGGGUAAAGGCCUACCAAGGCGACGAUCCGUAACUGGUCUGAGAGGAUGAUCAGUCACACUGGAACUGAGACACGGUCCAGACUCCUACGGGAGGCAGCAGUGGGGAAUAUUGGGCAAUGGGCGAAAGCCUGAUCCAGCCAUGCCGCGUGUGUGAAGAAGGUCUUCGGAUUGUAAAGCACUUUAAGUUGGGAGGAAGGGCAGUAAGUUAAUACCUUGCUGUUUUGACGGUACCAACAGAAUAAGCACCGGCUAACUUCGUG